Molecule: ribosomal RNA, 372 nt
Filed under: uncultured organism
Description: bacterial SSU rRNA
Rfam family: Bacterial small subunit ribosomal RNA
Source: RNAcentral
CGUAGGGUGCGAGCGUUAAUCGGAAUUACUGGGCGUAAAGCGUGCGCAGGCGGUUUUGUAAGACAGGCGUGAAAUCCCCGGGCUCAACCUGGGAACUGCGCUUGUGACUGCAAGGCUAGAGUACGGCAGAGGGGGGUGGAAUUCCACGUGUAGCAGUGAAAUGCGUAGAGAUGUGGAGGAACACCAAUGGCGAAGGCAGCCCCCUGGGUCGAUACUGACGCUCAUGCACGAAAGCGUGGGUAGCAAACAGGAUUAGAUACCCUGGUAGUCCACGCCCUAAACGAUGUCAACUAGGUGUUGGGUGGGUAAAACCAUUUAGUACCGGAGCUAACGCGUGAAGUUAACCGCCUGGGGAGUACGGCCGCAAGGUUA